GAGGUCUGCUGUUUGUCCUUGCAAAUCUCGUUUUUCUGCUGUACUAAUUUUGUCCCUGUGAUUCCUUGGCUAUAAUGGGGGUUCCUUGAUGGAAAAUCAUGUGCAUCCAUCCCUAGCUUUGAAUCUGGUUGUUAUUCAUUUAUUCAUGGGUUCUUGAGGAUGGCGCAGGAGUUUAUCUUUCGUGAUUUAUUUUGUGUGAGUUCAUACUGAGUUCUUCCCCUGUUUUUGAUUCAAUUUGAGGUCGCAGUAGUUUCUAGGGAAGUUCUUGUAUGCGUGGUGGAAGGGAAGAGCACCUGCUGCUCUCUGUCUCGCCGCCGGGAGCGACCGUCUUAGGAUUCAGUUUAUCCUCUUCUAGCUGUUGUGUGACUUCCAAAUAGCAGAAUUGGUUUGUGCAAUUUUGCAGAGGUAUAAUCGUGGUUUUCAGUUGUUGGUAGUCUUGCAGCUCUAUGCGCUACAGGUGACUAGAGUUCCUGACAAGUGAAAUCAGCUCCAGGCAGUGUAGUUCUUCUCCAUUGAAAAAGUUUCUGCUAGUACGUGCACGUUAAGUACUAGUGUCUUGUGCUAGUGCGUGUUACUCUUUUGGGUUAAGUAGCUCCCAUUUGAUUAGCCUAUAACCUUGCCGUGUAACCUCUUGGUCUAAUUAAGCACUAAUUUUUCCAGUACACUUUUCCGGUGCUUAUUAUUCUUUGAGCUCUCAAAGUCAAGAUUUGAGUAUUGUUGGACUAGUUCCAGUCUGUUUUGACAGGCAUAUUUUGUUUCCGCUGCGUAUUCCUCUAUUCUGAGCAUCAUAGUUUUUCCGUAACUAUCAUGCAAAAUUGAAGAGGUUAAAUUUUUCAAGGUCGUCAUUCAACCCCCCUUCUGACUCCCGGCAUUCGAUCCUACAAUUGGUAUCAGAGCCCGGUUGGCUCAUCUGUAGCCUUAAUCAGCUCUUGAGCCAUGGAGUCAUUUGCGAACCCGUCGCGUCCUCCGCUGUUCUCUGGGAGUGAGUGGCCGUUUUGGAAGUCUCGGAUGAAAACAUUUCUUGAAGCUCAAAGCUAUGUAAUAUGGCAAAUUGUUGUGCGAGAUUUUGCAAUACCUGCUCGUGUUGGUCCUGAGAAUAUAGUUGAUGUUGAAAAUAAUUCCAAAGCUAUUAACAUUCUCUUGUCAGGUUUGGAUAGGAGAGAGCAUGAGCGUGUUGCACACCUAGACACAGCCCACAAAAUUUGGUCCACUCUCAUCACUUACCACGAGGGCACUAGUGAGAUUAAGACAGCUCGUCAGGACAUUUACAAAGCCGAGUACAACAAAUUUGAGCAGUUACCUGGUGAGUCUCUAGAGGACAUGUUUGGUAGGUUUGAGGUCAUAGUUGGGAAAUUGAGGGGUUGUGUACAUUGAGUUGGAGAAAGCUAGACACAUCCUAAACUCUCUUGACCCAAUCUAUGAGAUGAGAAAGAUCGCGAUUCAAGAGUCCCAUAAACCUGAUGAGCUCACUGUAGACAUGUUGUUCUCCAAGCUUAAAACUCACCAAAUAGCUAGUGAAGGUAGAAACCCACCUAGGAACAGGACUCUUGCACUAGUUGGUAGUGAAUGCCAAACUGCACAUGGUCCCUCUAGUGUUUCUGAGUCUGGCAGUGGUCCUUCUUCUGGUUUUUCAUUUGCUUGUUUGGUUUCAGUCUCUGAUGAACAACUUGAAUCUUUGCCUGAGGAUGAUCUUGCUCUUUUUGUCCAUCGUUUUUCCUGAGCUUAUAAAAACGUGAGAGAAAGGAAAGGCAAACACACAAAAAUCUAUUUUGAGUGUGGUGUGCAGGGGCACUACAGGUCUGAUUGUCCAAAUUUCAAAGAUUAUGGUGAAAAUAGUGGUGGCAAGAACAACUAUAGCAAGAAGAAGUCGUUCUCUCGUCAUGAAACCAAGUUCCGGCCAAAGGCUGAGAAGCAUCUUCAAAAGAUGGUUGCUGCAAUCGCUUUGGGUCUACAAUCUGCAGUAGAUUUAAGCGACAUCAACUCUGACCAGAGUGGUGAGGAUGAUCCUCCUUCUCCCAAAGGGAAGGAUACAAAUAAGAAGGCGGCUGAUCGGCUCACCGGCAUGUGUUUUAUGGCUCAUGAGGCUGAUGAGGAGAACGACAACACGGAUGAGGUACAAAUGUCUUAUGAUGAAUUAUAUGCUGAGUAUGUGAAAGUUGAAAAUCUGUUUUUAACGUAAGCAAAAGUCCUUAAAAAAUGCACGCGCACCAUAAAUGAUAAUCUUGCUCAAAUUGAUUCUCUCACACUAGAAAUAACUACUCUGAAGGAUGCUACUGCUAGUGUGCCUUCUCAUGAUAUUGAUGAUUGUGCUGGAUGUGAUGUGUUGCGUGCUGAAUUAGAACUUGCUAGGAAUACUCAUGCUAGUAUGUCACAACUACUUGAAUCUGCUAGAAAUGAACUUGCUGAUGUAAAUUGAGCCCUUGCUCCCUUUGUGUUGAAAAUACACCUAUGUCUGUUCCUAAAGUUGCAGACUGUGCCUGCCCAAACUGUGAUAAAUUAAAUGCUAGAAUUACGAAUCUCGAACAGACACUUUUUGAUGCAGAGAAUCCUCCCUCUUGUUUGAAGUGCAAAUACUUUGAUGAUAGAGUUAAAAAGUUGAAUCAAAUGAUCCUAGAUGUGCGUGCUCCUAGAAAUUGUGUAAAUUGUCCUAAACUCGAAGAAGAAGUUGAGGAACUAGGAGCUCAUCUCAGUGAAAUCUAUAAGAAAUAUGAUCUUGUUAAAGCUUCAAAUUCAAAGAAACCUACUGAUUCUUGUGAUGCUUCUUCUAGUUCUGUUACUACUUGUACUUUCUGUACCAUACUUGAGAAUGAUCUUGUUGCUAUGCAUGAAGCAUUUCGGGUCAGGUUUGGCAAGGGUGUAGCAAAUCCUGUGAGUGUAGAUUGUGUCUCUUGUGAGGGAUUAAAACUUGAGAUUCAGGCCUACAAGGAUAGAUAUGGGAGAGCUGUGAGGGUGUCCUCCUUAAAAGAGUGUUUAUCGUGUGCUUCCUAUGCAAAAGAAGUAGCUUACCUCAAGACGAUCCUAGAAAAGCUCUCAAGUGGUGAGAAAAGAUUAAACAUGAUUUUAGACAAGUCAAAGGUGAGUAAAGGUCUAGGUCUUGGUUUUGACUUCAUGGAAGAUUCUAGGAACAACCCUCCAGAACCCAUAGGCAUUCGAAGUGAUGGAGCUAUCUUGGUCCGUGAGAAUGAGAGAGCGACAUUUUUUCAGUCUGGGGGACUUUUGCCCACGAGUCCAAAUGACAAGGGUACUUCUCCUUCCACUGGUUCUCGUGCUGAAAAAGAGAGAAUAGUUUACCAGUGCACCUAUUGCCACAAGUCUAGACACCUUGCUGAGUUUUGCUUCAAAAAACUUAGAGAUGAAUGUAGAUCUCGUGUUCGUGCAGUUAGGGGCAUGCAACGAUAGGCUCAUGCGCUGCAUGUUUCUAACACACAUGGUCAGAGUGAGUACCUGCAUGGCUCGGGUAGGAGAGACUAUUUUAAAUCCAACAAGACCGCUUCCAGAGCCCGAUUUACUAGGGGUAGAGGUCAACAAAAUUGUAGGUAUCAAGAUGGCCUUGCAUUGCAUGCUAAUAACACAUGUAUUUCUGCUCCUGCAAAGGGAGUGACCCAGUACUGGAUUAAAAAAUGUUUACUUACUAAUCCCAGUACUGAGUCACUUCGUUGUCGCUCUUUUGUGUAGGUUGGUUUUGAGGGUUUGGCAAACAAGUGGCUUAUUGACUCUGGGUGUUCACGCCACAUGACUGGUGAUACUAAAUUGUUCGCCUCCCUCUGCAAAGCGUCUGGUGAUGAAAAGAUCACUUUUGGGAAUGAUGCACAGGGUUGCAUUGUGGCCAAAGGAACAGUGCGAGUCAACGAGAACUGUCUUCUCAAGGAUGUAGCCCUUGUAAGUAAGUUGAGUUAUAAUUUGAUUUCAGUUUCACAACUUCUUGAUGAGGGUUUUGAGGUUCGUUUCAAGAAAUCUGCUUCUCGUGUUCUUGACUCUACUGGUGAUCUUGUCUUUGGUAUUUCUCGGGUUGGUAAAAUCUUUGGUGCUGAUUUUGGAGUGCUUUUGUCCUCUGGUCCAUGAUGUUUUGUCGCCUCUUUGAACAUGAGCGAGUUUCAGUUGUGGCAUCAUCGUUUGGGGCAUGUUGGUUUUGAUCAUUUGAUGUGAAUUGGCAGCCUUGAUCUUUUGCGAGGUUUGCCUAAGCUCAAAGCCACCAAGGAUAUUGUGUGUGCCCCAUGCCGACAUGGAAAGCAAGUCUCUGCUUCUCACCCUCCAAUCAAUCUGGUGAACACAACCAGACCCACCCAAUUGCUACAUAUGGACACAGUUGGUCCAUCUCGGGUCCGGUCAGCUGGUGGGAAGUGGUACGUGCUUGUCAUCGUAGAUGAUUUUUCUCGAUACUCUUGGGUUUUCUUUAUGGAGCAUAAAUCUGAAGCAUUCAAUCAUUUUCAUGAUUUGGCUUUAAGGCUAUUCAAUGUAUUUCCUGGUGAGAUGAAAACUGUUCGUAGUGAUAAUGGUUUGGAGUUCAAAAAUUCUUCCUUUGCUGAUUUCCUUGCCGAGAGAGGAAUUGAGCACCAAUUUUCGUCUCCUCGCAUGCCUCAACAAAAUGGUGUUGUGGAAAGGAAAAAUAGAACUCUUGUGGAGAUGGCAAGGACCAUGCUCGAAGAAUUUGGCACACCACAACGUUAUUGGGCUGAAGCCAUUAGUACAGCUUGCUAUGUGUCAAAUCGUGUUUUUCUGCGGAGUUCUUUGAAAGUGACCUCUUAUGAGUUGAGAUUUGGUAGAAAGCCUAAUAUUUCUCAUUUGCGGGUGUUUGGUUGCAAGUGUUUUAUCCUAAAUAAGGGCCUUCUCGACAAGUUUGAGUCGCGCACUUCUGAUGGUAUCCUUCUUGGUUACCCUGCUCACAUGAAGGGCUAUCGUGUUUUAAAUUUAGAAUCUAACCUUGUGGUAGAGACUUGCGAUGUAACUUUUGAUGAGGCUAGCCCAGCUAGACCCGAGUUUUCAGGUACACCACAAGUUUCCGAAACCUUAUUCGUUGAAGAAGAUAAUGAGGAUGGUGUGGGACAAGCCCCCAUAUCUCUUGCACCUGCCGCAGAACCUGCUACCACUUCUGUUCCAGUGGAAGAUGGCCCUGUACCUAGUACUUCAUCUACAACAUCCGUACCCUCAACAUUGAUGACUCCUGAUCCUACCUCCACUUCAGCUGAGGUAGAGGCUACCACGACUACUUCCUCACCUGCUUCUGACGUCCUUCAGGGAUCUCUACAUCUUCAUCAUGCUCACCCACCAGAUCUGAUCAUCGGCAACAUCUCUGAGCGUACAUUGUGCUCCAGGUCCACUCAUUUCUCAGACUUUGCACAUACUGCAUUUGUUGCAUCUUUUGAGCCCCGAGAUGUUAGCCAUGCAUUAGAAGAUGAAAACUGGAUAAGGGCAAUGCAUGAGGAGUUAGAAAACUUUGAGAGGAACAAGGUCUGGCAACUUGUAAAACCCCCGUUUGACCAGAGUAUAAAUGUCAUUGGAACCAAGUGGGUUUUCAAAAAUAAAUAGGGAGAGGGUGGCCAAGUUGUUCGCAACAAGGCUCGCCUAGUUGCUCAAGGUUAUUCUCAAAUUCAGGGUUUUGAUUUUGACGAGACCUUUGCACCUGUUGCACGGUUGGAGGCGAUAUGUAUUUUACUUGCUUACUCUGCUUCCAAGGGUUUUAAGUUAUUUCAAAUGGAUGUCAAAAGUGCUUUUCUAAAUGGUUUCAUUGAUGAAGAAGUUUAUGUAAAACAGCCCCCUGGUUUUGAAAAUGACAAGCUCCCAAACCAUGUCUAUAAAUUGCAGAAAGCUCUUUAUGGUCUUAAGCAAGCCCCUAGAGCUUGGUAUGAUAGACUCAAAGGGUUUUUGAUCAAGAAAGGUUUUAAAAUGGGUGAAGCUGAUAAGACCUUGUUCACUCUUAGGCAUCAUAAUGAACCACUCUUAGUGCAAAUUUACGUAGAUGAUGUCAUCUUCGGUGGAUCGUCUAAUGCUCUUUGUGCUAAGUUUUCCAAAGACACGAGUGAUGAAUUUGAGAUGUCCAUGAUGGGUGAGCUGUCCUUCUUUCUUGGACUGCAAAUCAAGCAAACAAAGCAGGGCACCUUUGUAUAUCAAGGAAAGUACACGAAGGACAUGUUAAAGAAGUUUGGGAUGAGCGAUUCCAAGCCACUCCAUACCCCAAUGUCCACUGCCACAAUACUUGAUGUAGAUAAAAAUGGUGAGGUAGUGGACCAGCGAGAAUAUAGAAACAUGAUUGGCUCACUACUAUACUUGACUGCAACGAGGCCAGACAUACAAUUUGCAGUGUGUCUGUGUGCUCGUUUUCAGGCUUCCCCAAGAGACUCCCACAAGCAAGCCGUCAAACGCAUUUUAAGGUACCUCCAAGGAACACCUGAUUUUGGCCUAUGUUUUCUAGUUCUUCUGGUUUAGGAGUUAGGGGGUUUCGAAGAUUUAGACUUUGGUGGGUGUAGAAUAGACCGCAAGAGCACUUCUGGCACUUGUCACUUUCUAGGUACUUCCCUUAUUUCUUGGUCUUCUAGGAAGCAAUCUAGUGUAGCACAGAGCACAGCCGAGGCAGAGUAUGUAGCAGCUGCGAGCAGUUGUAGUCAGAUUCUUUGGAUCUCAUCUACUUUACAGGAUUUUGGGAUUUUCAUUUCUUCUGUUCCACUUUUCUGCGAUAACACUAGUGCGAUAAGUAUUGCUAAGAAUCCAGUCCAACACUCUAGAACUAAACACAUUGAACUGUGCUACCACUUCAUAAGAGACCAUGUGGAGAAAGGUGAUAUAGAGCUCCUGUAUGUUGAUACUGAGCAUCAGCUUGCUGAUAUUUUUACCAAACCUUUGGAUGUUAGUCGUUUUGCUUCUUUGCGGGGAGAUUUGGGGGUCGUCGGCCCCUAUGGGAUCUUGUGAAGGGGGAGUUUGUGUUUUUUUUCUUCUUUUGUUCAUAUGUAUCAUAUUGCACCUUGCAUUAUAUGUAAGAUACCUUUGAGCUUUGAUGAUUCUUUUGUUGAAGAAAUGUUCAUAAUGAAGUUGCUCUUGGCCAUGUUAUGCUUAUUGUCUAGCUCAUCCUGUCAUGGUUUGCCAUAUAUGGAUAACCCUUUGCAUGCUAGUUUUAAUUGGAAAUGAAGUUGAACUAAAUAAACAUGUUGACCAUAUGAUGAGUUCUAUGCUAGUUGAUCACCUUGACUUGAGAAUCUACUUGUGCUUUAUAUUGCAACUCUGAUCUAUGUUCUGGCUAGCUAGUUUGGACUCCAUUUGAUAUCACACCUGGAACCACUAGAGACUUGUUUUGCUUAGACCUAUGUGGCUCGGGUCAGAUAUGCUCUACUGUCUUGUCAAGUCCCUAGUCUUGCUUUCAUGAGUUACUUUUUAUCUGCAUUUUUUGUGAAGAAUCACUCAAGAUACCUGCUCGUGCAGGAGGUGGUAUUUUGCUUGUGCCUAUUCCAUACUUUCUUAAUCAAACCACUCAAGGUACCUGCUCAUGCAGGAGGUGGUACUUUGCUUGUGACUUAACAUAAAAUCAAAAUCAAAUCACUCAAGGUACCUGCUCGUGCAGGAGGUGGUACUUUGCUUGUGCCUUUUCAUAAAAUUUUGAAGUGCAUCAUUUUGUGCUGACUUAAUUACUCAAGGUGCCUGCUCGUGCAGGAGGUGGCACUUUGCUUGUGAGAUGGUCAGCACAGCGAGAAGGUUCCAUUUUUGAUCGGGUGUGCCUCCUAGUCAUUGGUUAGCGCCAGGUUCCAAUGCCUUGCAACGUUUAGUCUCUUUUCCAUGUGUUUGCCUACAUAAGAACUCAUCAUGUGUGAAAACUGAAGUUACUAAGAACUUGAAUGUCUUGCCGCAUCUAGCUCAAGGAUUUUCUCUAUAUGUCUUAGUAUGACUAGAUGAGCUCUUACUUAUCAUGGCCUAGUAGCAUUUCUAUCUCAUGUGCUUCAACUGAAUAAUCUUCAAUGCUCGUACAAUUGCAUAAAUUCCACUUCAUGCAUACAUGUUCUAUCUUGAUGUUUUCUCAUAUGCAUAAAUUGAGGGGGAGGGAUCUCCCUUGAUGCUUAUAGUGCCAAAGAGGGAGAAAUAGGACAGUGCAUAUGUUGCAAAUUGAGUUUCAGUAUGUACACAAGUUGAGGGGGAGUCAGGGGGAGCCAUUGAUAUUAAUUUUUCUUUCUCUUGGUUCUUUCCCUUGUGAACUUGUGAAAACAAGGUUGAUUUCUCUCUGAUGAGUUUUUGUUGAAAGUGAAGCUUUGGAUCCGGGUGUUAGCUUCACUCUCCACUUUGUCCACUUGGUAAUGUCUACAAUUUUUUUUCUUUGGGACCAAGUGUGUUUUUGCAACUUUCCUUCUCUUUGUUAAAACUAAAACUCUAUUUUUUCUUGCUGAGAGUUGGGUUGGCAAUAUAAACAUCAAGGUGGAGAUUGUGAGUCCAUGUGGUGAUACCCUUAAUUUUGUGAUGAUUAUAUUGCCAAUGCUUUUGCUCGCUUUGAGAGUUAUUUUAAUGAAGUUUGAAAAUCACAGUUUGUCGGAUCAAGGACGUGAUCUAUUUUAUGUGACUUAUCUGGAUGGUGUUGAUUGUAUUAAACUGUUAAUUUGGAUUGACUUGGGUCAAGCUCAGGAAGUUUGUGCUCGCAAUAGUUGCUUGUUUCCAUUGUGUGCAGGUUCCAGUGAGUGCGGUGGUAGUCGACAACGAGGAUGGUUGGCAUAAGGCUUGAAGAGCUAAGAUGUGACCAUGGACGCUGUGCGGGAUCGUGCGGCUCAAAGCAACGCACAAGUUUUGGACAAGGACUAUAUGGAGGCAAAGGAGAAGACCAUGUCAAGUGAAGGUUAUUUUGGUAUGUUUACCAAAAUCCACUAACAAGCAAACCAAGAGAGUGAUUGUGGUGUUGCUUAAGAGUGGAAAAUGUUAUUUACAAGUGGCUAAGUAAAAUGGCUAUUUCUUUUAGUGUUUUGGGCUUGGCCCAUUCGGCGGGAACCAUGGCCCAUUCAAUGGCGGUGGAAGGCUGAUCCAACCUUAUAUAUGAGCUGCUAGGUUUUCCCUUGUGGGCAUGAACAGAGGAGCCGCCGCUACGAGGAGAAAAAUAGAGCAGCCGCCACACAUUUGAGAUAGAGCUUCCUGUGUGGGAUUUAGCCUAUGUGAGAGAGGCUUGUAACUCCAGAAAUCUGAGAAAUAAAUCCUCAAAUUGUUCCCAGCCUUACUAUUGCCGAGGUCUGCUGUUUGUCCUUGCAAAUCUCGUUUCUCUGCUGUACUAAUUUUGUCCCUGUGAUUCCUUGGCUAUAAUGGGGUUUCCUUGAUGGAAAAUCAUGUGCAUCCAUCCCUAGCUUUGAAUCUGGUUGUUAUUCAUUUAUUCAUGGGUUCUUGAGGAUGUCGCAGGAGUUUAUCUUUCGUGAUUUAUUUUGUGCGAGUUCAUACUGAGUUCUUCCCCUGUUUUUGAUUCAAUUUGAGGUCGCAGUAGUUUCUAGGGAAGUUCUUGUAUGCGUGGUGGAAGGGAAGAGCACCUGCUGUUCUCUGUCUCGCCGCCGGGAGCGACCGUCUUAGGAUUCAGUUUAUCCUCUUCUAGCUGUUGUGUGACUUCCAAAUAGCAGAAUUGGUUUGUGCAAUUUUGCAGAGGUAUAAUCGUGGUUUUCAGUUGUUGGUAGUCUUGCAGCUCUAUGCGCUACAGGUGACUAGAGUUCCUGACAAGUGAAAUCAGCUCCAGGCAGUGUAGUUCUUCUCCAUUGAAAAAGUUUCUGCUAGUACGUGCACGUUAAGUACUAGUGUCUUGUGCUAGUGCGUGUUACUCUUUUGGGUUAAGUAGCUCCCAUUUGAUUAGCCUAUAACCUUGCCGUGUAACCUCUUGGUCUAAUUAAGCACUAAUUUUUCCAGUACACUUUUCC
RNAcentral lists this long non-coding RNA (9854 nucleotides) under Triticum aestivum (bread wheat). RNAcentral's name for it is "long non-coding RNA (TAES_LNC005347)". Lineage: Eukaryota; Viridiplantae; Streptophyta; Magnoliopsida; Poales; Poaceae. The record is from RNAcentral.